This 1667-nucleotide ribosomal RNA is filed under the name Salmonella enterica subsp. enterica serovar Newport. RNAcentral's name for it is "partial 23S ribosomal RNA". It matches the Rfam family "Bacterial large subunit ribosomal RNA", at positions 1292 to 2925 of the family's 2925-position model. The record is from RNAcentral. Lineage: Bacteria; Pseudomonadati; Pseudomonadota; Gammaproteobacteria; Enterobacterales; Enterobacteriaceae.
GAAUGCUGACAUAAGUAACGAUAAAGCGGGUGAAAAGCCCGCUCGCCGGAAGACCAAGGGUUCCUGUCCAACGUUAAUCGGGGCAGGGUGAGUCGACCCCUAAGGCGAGGCCGAAAGGCGUAGUCGAUGGGAAACGGGUUAAUAUUCCCGUACUUGGUGUUACUGCGAAGGGGGGACGGAGAAGGCUAUGUUGGCCGGGCGACGGUUGUCCCGGUUUAAGCGUGUAGGUGUGUGUUCCAGGUAAAUCCGGUUCACUUUAACACUGAGGCGUGACGACGAGGCACUACGGUGCUGAAGCAACAAAUGCCCUGCUUCCAGGAAAAGCCUCUAAGCAUCAGGUAACAUCAAAUCGUACCCCAAACCGACACAGGUGGUCAGGUAGAGAAUACCAAGGCGCUUGAGAGAACUCGGGUGAAGGAACUAGGCAAAAUGGUGCCGUAACUUCGGGAGAAGGCACGCUGACACGUAGGUGAAGUGAUUUACUCAUGGAGCUGAAGUCAGUCGAAGAUACCAGCUGGCUGCAACUGUUUAUUAAAAACACAGCACUGUGCAAACACGAAAGUGGACGUAUACGGUGUGACGCCUGCCCGGUGCCGGAAGGUUAAUUGAUGGGGUCAGCGCAAGCGAAGCUCCUGAUCGAAGCCCCGGUAAACGGCGGCCGUAACUAUAACGGUCCUAAGGUAGCGAAAUUCCUUGUCGGGUAAGUUCCGACCUGCACGAAUGGCGUAAUGAUGGCCAGGCUGUCUCCACCCGAGACUCAGUGAAAUUGAACUCGCUGUGAAGAUGCAGUGUACCCGCGGCAAGACGGAAAGACCCCGUGAACCUUUACUAUAGCUUGACACUGAACAUUGAGCCUUGAUGUGUAGGAUAGGUGGGAGGCUUUGAAGUGUGGACGCCAGUCUGCAUGGAGCCGACCUUGAAAUACCACCCUUUAAUGUUUGAUGUUCUAACGUGGACCCGUGAUCCGGGUUGCGGACAGUGUCUGGUGGGUAGUUUGACUGGGGCGGUCUCCUCCUAAAGAGUAACGGAGGAGCACGAAGGUUGGCUAAUCCUGGUCGGACAUCAGGAGGUUAGUGCAAUGGCAUAAGCCAGCUUGACUGCGAGCGUGACGGCGCGAGCAGGUGCGAAAGCAGGUCAUAGUGAUCCGGUGGUUCUGAAUGGAAGGGCCAUCGCUCAACGGAUAAAAGGUACUCCGGGGAUAACAGGCUGAUACCGCCCAAGAGUUCAUAUCGACGGCGGUGUUUGGCACCUCGAUGUCGGCUCAUCACAUCCUGGGGCUGAAGUAGGUCCCAAGGGUAUGGCUGUUCGCCAUUUAAAGUGGUACGCGAGCUGGGUUUAGAACGUCGUGAGACAGUUCGGUCCCUAUCUGCCGUGGGCGCUGGAGAACUGAGGGGGGCUGCUCCUAGUACGAGAGGACCGGAGUGGACGCAUCACUGGUGUUCGGGUUGUCAUGCCAAUGGCACUGCCCGGUAGCUAAAUGCGGAAGAGAUAAGUGCUGAAAGCAUCUAAGCACGAAACUUGCCCCGAGAUGAGUUCUCCCUGAGACUUAGAGUCUCCUGAAGGAACGUUGAAGACGACGACGUUGAUAGGCCGGGUGUGUAAGCGCAGCGAUGCGUUGAGCUAACCGGUACUAAUGAACCGUGAGGUUUAACCUUACAACGCCGAAG